This 467-nucleotide ribosomal RNA is filed under the name uncultured bacterium. Its description in RNAcentral is "partial 16S ribosomal RNA". It matches the Rfam family "Bacterial small subunit ribosomal RNA", at positions 28 to 507 of the family's 1533-position model. The record is from RNAcentral.
GACGAACGCUGGCGGCGUGCUUAACACAUGCAAGUCGAACGGAAAGGCCUCUUUCGGGGGGUACUCGAGUGGCGAACGGGUGAGUAACACGUGAGUAACCUGCCCUUGACUUUGGGAUAACUUCAGGAAACUGGGGCUAAUACCGGAUAGGAGCUCCUGCUGCAUGGUGGGGGUUGGAAAGUUUCGGCGGUUGGGGAUGGACUCGCGGCUUAUCAGCUUGUUGGUGGGGUAGUGGCUUACCAAGGCUUUGACGGGUAGCCGGCCUGAGAGGGUGACCGGCCACAUUGGGACUGAGAUACGGCCCAGACUCCGACGGGAGGCAGCAGUGGGGAAUAUUGCACAAUGGGUGGAAGCCUGAUGCAGCAACGCCGUGUGCGGGAUUACGGCCUUCGGGUUGUAAACCGCUUUCGCUCAUGACGAAGCUUUGUGUGACGGUAGUGGGUAAAGAAGCACCGGCUAACUACGUG